GCACCGGUAGCUCAACCGGAUAGAGUAUCUGGCUACGGACCAGAAGGUUAGAGGUUCGACUCCUCUCCGGUGCG
This 74-nucleotide transfer RNA is filed under the name Chlamydiae bacterium RIFCSPHIGHO2_12_FULL_27_8. RNAcentral's name for it is "tRNA-Arg". It matches the Rfam family "tRNA". From Rfam's summary of the family: Transfer RNA (tRNA) molecules are approximately 80 nucleotides in length. Their secondary structure includes four short double-helical elements and three loops (D, anti-codon, and T loops). Further hydrogen bonds mediate the characteristic L-shaped molecular structure. tRNAs have two regions of fundamental functional importance: the anti-codon, which is responsible for specific mRNA codon recognition, and the 3' end, to which the tRNAs corresponding amino acid is attached (by aminoacyl-tRNA synthetases). tRNAs cope with the degeneracy of the genetic code in two manners: having more than one tRNA (with a specific anti-codon) for a particular amino acid; and 'wobble' base-pairing, i.e. permitting non-standard base-pairing at the 3rd anti-codon position. Lineage: Bacteria; Pseudomonadati; Chlamydiota. The record is from RNAcentral.